GUUUAGAGAGUAUUAUUUGCGUCCUUAUCUGCUGAAACAAACAAUAAAUAAAGAGAAAGAUAAUGACCAAUAAAAUCUAGGUUCCCGUGCAACCGUUUGUUCUGAUUUCCCCAAAAAGCGCUGCCAGCCGCUUCCUUUCCUUCCAGCCGCCGCCGCCUCCUCCUACCCUUCAUCUCGUUUCUGCUCUCCUAUCUUCCUCCCGUACCUCCUCGAGCGCAGCGGCUGAUUCCGGCCGAGCUGCAUGCGAUGUCGGCCAGGUCACAGUUCCCGUGGCCAUCCUCUGCCGCCGUCCUCGUGGGAGCCGGCAACGCGCUGGUCGUCUCGGUGGCAGCUGCCGCGGACAACGUGAGGAAGCACGGGUUGGAGAUCGCGCAGCUGGCGCUCGACGCUAAAGGGCCAGCGCCUAUGUACGACGUCGCCUCCAAGAAAAACAGCAGCGAGAUGCACAAGGCAGAUCUAGGACUGAGAAUUGUUGGGACUUCCACAAGCGGCCGUGCAGCAGCUGAUUAACUAGUUAUAUUCUUCACUCGACCAUUCUUUUUUUGCAGUUUUUUAUUUUAAAGGAGAAGAUGCAAACAUGGAUGCAUGUUCGUGGAGGUGAUGAUGCUGGUCUUCUCAAGGAUGCUUGGAGAUGUGUGCCCCACACGAUCCACAAUGACAUCAUCCAUGGAUGGCCUACUUCUAUUUCUGGAGAUGCAUGGAUAACAGAUGGUCCAUCGUAAUAGAAGCAUCACUAGGCGUUGUAGUAAUUGGUGAAGAAUGAUACGAACUUCAAUUCAAGGACUGAUGAUGGCCUCUCAUGACUGAAGAUUAUGGAAAGAAAAUAUCUUUUCUAGUUGUUGCACUAUUUCUUGUUAGAGAUGAACAACUACAAUGGUUGUCUAGGGAGUUUUUUGGUUCACAAUUUUUGAAUGGUGGUACUUUAUCCCCUAAAUUGUA
Triticum aestivum (bread wheat) is the source of this 939-nucleotide long non-coding RNA. RefSeq lists it as uncharacterized. The record is from RefSeq and is a predicted model, not a curated record. Lineage: Eukaryota; Viridiplantae; Streptophyta; Magnoliopsida; Poales; Poaceae. The transcript is spliced from 4 exons.